GUAGGGAAUCUUCCGCAAUGGACGAAAGUCUGACGGAGCGACGCCGCGUGAAUGAUGAAGGUCUUAGGAUCGUAAAAUUCUGUUGUUAGGGAUGAACAAGUGUGAGAGUAACUGCUCACACCUUGACAGUACUUAACCAGAAAGCCCCGGCUAACUACGUGCCAGCAGCCGCGGUAAUACGUAGGGGGCAAGCGUUGUCCGGAAUUAUUGGGCGUAAAGGGUACGCAGGCGGUUCUUUAAGUCUGAUGUGAAAUCUCAUAGCUUAACUGUGAGCGGUCAUUGGAAACUGGGGAACUUGAGUAUAGAAGAGAAGAGUGGAAUUCCAAGUGUAGCGGUGAAAUGCGUAGAUAUUUGGAGGAACACCAGUGGCGAAGGCGACUCUUUGGUCUAUUACUGACGCUGAGGUACGAAAGCGUGGGGAGCAAACAGGAUUAGAUACCCUGGUAGUCC
This 450-nucleotide ribosomal RNA is filed under the name uncultured bacterium. Its description in RNAcentral is "bacterial SSU rRNA". It matches the Rfam family "Bacterial small subunit ribosomal RNA", at positions 354 to 796 of the family's 1533-position model. The record is from RNAcentral.